RNAcentral lists this ribosomal RNA (254 nucleotides) under uncultured bacterium. RNAcentral describes it as "partial 16S ribosomal RNA". It matches the Rfam family "Bacterial small subunit ribosomal RNA", at positions 524 to 776 of the family's 1533-position model. The record is from RNAcentral.
UACAGAGGUCCCAAGCGUUAUUCGGAAUCAUUGGGCUUAAAGGGCGCGUAGGCGGCGGUGUAAGUUGGAAGUGAAAUCCCAUCGGCUCAACCGUGGAAUUGCUCCCAGUACUGCAUCGCUCGAGGGGGAUAGGGGUUUGCGGAACUACCGGUGGAGCGGUGAAAUGUGUUGAUAUCGGUGGGAACGCCAGUGGCGAAAGCGGCAAACUUGACCCUUCCUGACGCUGAGGCGCGAAAGCUAGGGGAGCAAACGGG